RNAcentral lists this transfer RNA (88 nucleotides) under Rhodotorula toruloides. RNAcentral describes it as "tRNA-Val". It matches the Rfam family "tRNA". From Rfam's summary of the family: Transfer RNA (tRNA) molecules are approximately 80 nucleotides in length. Their secondary structure includes four short double-helical elements and three loops (D, anti-codon, and T loops). Lineage: Eukaryota; Fungi; Basidiomycota; Microbotryomycetes; Sporidiobolales; Sporidiobolaceae. The record is from RNAcentral.
GUUCAGGUGGCCAAGACGUAAGGCGUGACGCUUACACGUAUUUUAUUGAGACCCGUCAAGAUCGUGGGUUCAAUCCCCACCCUGAACA